This 744-nucleotide ribosomal RNA is filed under the name Discanomalina coronata. RNAcentral's name for it is "eukaryotic LSU rRNA". It matches the Rfam family "Eukaryotic large subunit ribosomal RNA", at positions 656 to 1368 of the family's 3401-position model. Lineage: Eukaryota; Foraminifera; Rotaliida; Gavelinellidae. The record is from RNAcentral.
GAAACACGGACCAAGGAGUUCAACUGGAUUGCAAGUCGUAGAGUAUAACAAUAUACUCAAUUGUAAUUCUAUUACUACAUACGGCGAAGCGAAAGCAAACUGGUGCCAACUGCGCUCGUAUAUGAGCCAGUGCAGCACAGGCUGAUUAUGGAUAUGCGCUGAAAUUUGAGCGUAUACUUGAAUGCACAUUAUUGUGCGUACAAGAAUAAUCAAGCCAAAGAGCAUAUUAGUUGAGACCCGAAAGAUGGUGAACUAUGCUCGGACAUGGUGAAGCCAGGUGAAAACUUGGUGGAAGCUUGCGUUGUGCGGAACUGACGUGCAAAUCGUUGCCGCCUGACCUGAGUAUAGGGGCGAAAGACUCAUCGAACCAUCUAGUAGCUGGUUCCCUCCGAAGUUUCCCUUAGGAUAGCUCGAAUUAAUCACAAUCUCUAAUUAUAUUUAUAUAUAAUAAUACAACAAACGAGUAACACAAGGGUAAAGCAAUGAGACGCGGUAUCUGUGGGUCUUAUUUAAAUGACCUCGGCCUUCUCUCAAACUUUAAAUCUGUGCGAGAUUCGCCUAGCAUUCUUUAAAGUGCGUAUCUUAUACUUUUGUAUAAAUGAUACGUNCNCGAUGCGGCAAUUUGUAUCUAUAAUUCGUAGUGGGCCAUUUCUGGUAAGCAGAACUGGCGAUGAGGGAUUCACCUGACGUUCUCAAGAUAAGCCGGGCUUAAUCAUAUCUGCUCCAACCUUCCGAUAAACGCGA